RNAcentral lists this non-coding RNA (62 nucleotides) under unclassified sequences. RNAcentral's name for it is "S15-Halobacteria ribosomal protein leader". It matches the Rfam family "S15-Halobacteria ribosomal protein leader". The record is from RNAcentral.
AUGGGAACAGCACGGCCGCAAGUCCGACUCGCCGCCCGUGCGGCUUGGGAUUGCGGAAGUGC